This is a long non-coding RNA of Sycon ciliatum, 2166 nucleotides long. RefSeq lists it as uncharacterized. The transcript has 2 exons. The record is from RefSeq and is a predicted model, not a curated record. Lineage: Eukaryota; Metazoa; Porifera; Calcarea; Leucosolenida; Sycettidae.
UGAUUGCAGUGAUAUGAAUCGAGUAAGCUGUUGUAGUAUGGUAGUGAUAAUGGUCAAGAUUGAAGAAAGCCAGACCGAGUUGUAAGAGAACGCGUGUUGAUCGCGAUGAAUGGCAUGAUGUUGAUGACCGCAGACUGGAGGACUGAGCCAACUGAACUGAACUGCGUGUUGGAUAUUAUUUGAACAUCAGAUUAUUCUAUUCAAACGUCAAAAUGGAAAUAAUUCAGUGCGUGGCUAGAUGGUCAACAGAUGUAAAUCGUUGCCUGCAAUAGUGCACGUGUCCUGUUGUUCUAUCGGAUCUAUACAGUUGGUUCGGUACAUGUAUGGUCCAAGAGUAUGAGACAGAGGUCUCGAAAUUUCGGACAUGGGGCGAGUGACCACUGCUAGCGAGCUUUGUGACCAAUGACGUGGCCAGGGUUGCCAGCCAUUAUUACAGUGAGUGAAAGCAGAAAGGAUAGUCCAGGUGCUGAAGCCUCUUGAGGAGCUUGGCAGCGAUGAAGACUGAACACGUUCACAAGUUUCACCACGAGUGGAUCGCGCCCAUCAGAAUCUCUGGUCUGUACUGUCACCCGGUCGAGCAUUGCCUCUCAAACAUAUUGCCGGUAAUGGCUGGUCCCGUCCUGCUCGGCUCUCACUGUAUGCUGCUGCUGCUGCUGUGGGCCUGUAUCUCGCUGGCCUCCGUGUUCGUCGCACACUGCGGCUUCCACCUGCCGUUCAUGCCGUCCAACGAGUACCACGACUACCAUCAUGCAAAUUUGGUGUGUCUGCCAUUCGAUGAUGCCGAGACCUCUGGUCAGUUGUGCAUGGCAGGCCCUACCAGCACCAUCUCACUGCUGACUCCAUGCUAGCCCCAUGUGCCUGCCGGUGAGUUUGUGUACCUCGUACAGUGCGUAUCGGUUAUAGCGUGGUCAUGUAAAAGAAUAUACUACCUACAAGAAUGAACUCUCAUGUUUUCAUAAUCAUAACAUGGGUUUCAAGUGCACAUUUAUUCUUACAAGCAAUUUUAUCGGACAGCCGAAUAUAUCGGUCCUAAAAAUGGACUUUGCGUAGCAAAACACACCAGAUUAGUACAAAGUAUAUCGCCUGUAGUAAUAACAUCUGUCCAAUGCAGUUCUCAUCCGACUAGCGUUGGGUCGUAGACUACGUAGUGCUGCAAGUUCAACUGUUGUGGUCAUGUAACUCAUGUUGCAUAGCCACAAUGGUAAGGCUAUGAGGCUAUGGGACUAUGACCAGCCGCAUGCACAAUAGCACUACAUUGCAUGUAGGAUGAUCUUCCUGACUCUGCGCACAUGCACAUGAUAUGUCACACUUGAUUUUCAAUAUCGUGUGUAAUAAAAUUUAUUACACACUUGAAAAUAUUUAAUAUCGGAUAUAAAAAUAGAAAGUCGUUUUUCAAACACCCACGCUAUAACCGAUACCUACUGUGUAAUUAUAAAAACUGACAUUAUUUUUUUGUUUAUGUUGGCUGCUGCUUUGCAGGAAUCUUUGAUUUUCUGUAUGGCACGGACAGUCGCUUCCGUAAAUCAAAGUCGUACGAGCGCCAUUCCAUGCUACUUGGCACCACCCCAGCCAACGUUCUGAUUCCGGACGAACCGAAGAAAUGCCAGUAAAAAGGUCAAGUUGGCAGUGCAUGUGCGUGUGUGCACCCUCACUGCUGUUGCUAGUCUCCUCAGAGUCCACCCUUGACCGUCCCAUUCUCCAGUUUGAAUGCUAGUCUCCUCACAGUCCACCCUUGACCGUCCCAUUCUCCAGUUUCAAUGCUAGUAUCAUCACUACUCUACAUGUAUAUGUAUUUUAGCAUAUCCGCCAUCAAUGCUGGUCACAUGGACAAAUUACACUUAGCUACCGUCACUACUUCAGGUAUGCCUUUGAUAUUAAUAUUUUUACUCACAUAGCUAUGGGUUUUUUUGUGGCAAAUUCACUAGUGCCCUAGCUCGGCCCAAUCUGUGUUCUAUCAUAGGUGGUUAAAUAACGACAUCACAUUGUUCAAUCUUCCAGUCCUAUCAGUGACAACUCUCAUAGCCAAUGUGCAUUGUUUCCGACGACCAUCACCAAGAAUUUAUGUUCUCUUUCUCACCUAGGGCCGUUCACAAUUUGUUUUCCAUUUCAAUUUCCGCAUUUCCACCAUCCUGGAAGCAUGGAGAGGGACAGUACCGGUAUUAUGAA